Molecule: ribosomal RNA, 405 nt
Filed under: uncultured bacterium
Lineage: Bacteria
Description: bacterial SSU rRNA
Rfam family: Bacterial small subunit ribosomal RNA
Source: RNAcentral
UUGGGAAUUUUGCACAAUGGAGGCAACUCUGAUGCAGCAACACUGCGUGAAGGAUGAAGGUUUUCGGAUCGUAAACUUCUUUUAUCAGGGAAUAAUCUUGAAGGUACCUGAUGAAUAAGCACCGGCUAACUACGUGCCAGCAGCCGCGGUAACACGUAGGGUGCAAACGUUAUCCGGAUUUAUUGGGCGUAAAGAGCUCGUAGGUGGUUUGACAAGUUGGAUAUUAAAUCUCCCGGCUCAACUGGGAAGCUGUAUUCAAAACUGUCUGACUAGAGGUAUGUAGGGGCAGAUGGAACUUACGGUGUAGCGGUAAAAUGCGUAGAUAUCGUAAGGAACGCCGAUGGUGAAGACGAUCUGCUGGACAUCACCUGACACUGAGGAGCGAAAGCGUGGGUAGCGAUCGGG